RNAcentral lists this ribosomal RNA (254 nucleotides) under uncultured bacterium. RNAcentral describes it as "partial 16S ribosomal RNA". It matches the Rfam family "Bacterial small subunit ribosomal RNA", at positions 524 to 776 of the family's 1533-position model. The record is from RNAcentral.
UACGUAGGGUGCGAGCGUUGUCCGGAAUUAUUGGGCGUAAAGAGCUCGUAGGCGGUGUGUCACGUCGGCCGUGAAAACCUGCAGCUUAACUGUGGGCGUGCGGUCGAUACGGGCAUCACUGGAGUUCGGCAGGGGAGACUGGAAUUCCUGGUGUAGCGGUGAAAUGCGUAGAUAUCGGAAGGAACAUCAGUGGCGAAAGCGGCUUCCUGGACCAGUACCGACGUUCAGGCACGAAAGCGUGGGGAGCAAACAGG